AAGUAGUACACCCGAUGUUGCGGAGAGGCAUCUGGAUGAGGCAAGCUAUCUCUGCAUGUCAGAAAAUGCAACGCAAAGCAUCCCAAAGACAACCACUGUCACAGAGCAGACUGUUGCCACCACCACUACUCCACUACAGAUGGAAGAUCUUUUGGGGUCUGACGGUGCCACUCACUUUACCUUCAGCACAGUAACCGACCGACACUGAAGGUCUAGGCGUCCCAACUCUGCCAGCUGAAGCACCUUCACAGCCAAGUCCACCACCAAAUUUAUACUCAGUCAUAUUUGAAAACCUGGACUUCUUCUGCCGCACGCACCACCAGUCAGUCAGCCGGACAAACAAAUCAAUACAUUGGAUUCACCACAUGGCUGUGGAAGACAGAGUCUCAUCAACCCAUCUGGACAGACACAAGCCAACUCGAGUGUUGAGCGACUACGACAUGGGGAAAUCCUUACCCUCUUAUGACUCCCAGGUCCUAAUUCGUCGUGAUUAUGUCAUCCUGGGAAGCAGAAUCCUGACUGAAUUCCUCCAAGCCUUCAAGCCGCUAGCUUCAGUUGUGAUUAAUCACAUCCCUCAUCGGUAUUCUGCUGAAAUGUCAGAGCCUUCCACCCACCACCCCCUUGGACUUCUGUUCAAGGAUGAGAACCAAUCUGCAGAGUUGGCUGAUGUUCUACACCACAUCCAGAACGAGUACGUUCCAAGGGGCCCUGAUGGACCAGACAGCAUUUUGGUUGGUGGUGACCGAUUGACGGAGGGGAAUAGCCGCGGCAUACAGUGGGUCUAUGCGGAAGGGGAAAACGCAGACCAACGACUGGAGGGCCUUGUGUUCAAAUUUGAGGAUUGGCAUGCAAUCAAAAACCUUUUUGAGGUGAGUGACCUAACUAGGGCAAUACAGCAAAUGUUUGAAGGACAUCUGUACCCUUGCAUAACAUCAUGCUUAUUAAGAAUUGU
Molecule: long non-coding RNA, 952 nt
Organism: Engraulis encrasicolus (European anchovy)
Lineage: Eukaryota; Metazoa; Chordata; Actinopteri; Clupeiformes; Engraulidae
Exons: 4
Source: RefSeq, a predicted model, not a curated record